ACGGGAGGCAGCAGUGGGGAAUAUUGCACAAUGGAGGAAACUCUGAUGCAGCGACGCCGCGUGAGUGAUGAAGUAUUUCGGUAUGUAAAGCUCUAUCAGUAGGGAAGAUAAUGACGGUACCUAACUAAGAAGCACCGGCUAAAUACGUGCCAGCAGCCGCGGUAAUACGUAUGGUGCAAGCGUUAUCCGGAUUUACUGGGUGUAAAGGGAGCGUAGGUGGUUUGGCAAGCCAGAAGUGAAAACCCGGGGCUCAACCCCGUGGAUUGCUUUUGGAACUGUUGAACUAGAGUGCAGGAGGGGUAAGUGGAAUUCCCAGUGUAGCGGUGAAAUGCGUAGAUAUUGGGAAGAACACCGGUGGCGAAGGCGGCUUACUGGACUGUAACUGACACUGAGGCUCGAAAGCGUGGGGAGCAAACAGGAUUAGAUACCCUGGUA
Molecule: ribosomal RNA, 435 nt
Filed under: uncultured Lachnospiraceae bacterium
Lineage: Bacteria; Bacillati; Bacillota; Clostridia; Lachnospirales; Lachnospiraceae
Description: bacterial SSU rRNA
Rfam family: Bacterial small subunit ribosomal RNA
Source: RNAcentral